This 468-nucleotide ribosomal RNA is filed under the name uncultured bacterium. RNAcentral's name for it is "partial 16S ribosomal RNA". It matches the Rfam family "Bacterial small subunit ribosomal RNA", at positions 28 to 507 of the family's 1533-position model. The record is from RNAcentral.
GACGAACGCUGGCGGCGUGCUUAACACAUGCAAGUCGAACGGAAAGGCCCUGCUUUUGUGGGGUGCUCGAGUGGCGAACGGGUGAGUAACACGUGAGUAACCUGCCCUUGACUUUGGGAUAACUUCAGGAAACUGGGGCUAAUACCGGAUAGGAGCUCCUGCUGCAUGGUGGGGGUUGGAAAGUUUCGGCGGUUGGGGAUGGACUCGCGGCUUAUCAGCUUGUUGGUGGGGUAGUGGCUUACCAAGGCUUUGACGGGUAGCCGGCCUGAGAGGGUGACCGGCCACCUUGGGCCUGCGAUACGGCCCAGACUCCUACGGGAGGCAGCAGUGGGGAAUAUUGCCCAAUGGGCGGAAGCCUGAUGCAGCAACGCCGCGUGCGGGAUGCCGGCCUUCGGGUUGUAAACCGCUUUCGCCUGUGACGAAGCGUGAGUGACGGUAAUGGGUAAAGAAGCACCGGCUAACUACGUG